CGCGGGGUAGAGCAGUGGUAGCUCGUCGGGCUCAUAACCCGGAGGUCGCAGGUUCGAAUCCUGCCCCCGCUACCA
Molecule: transfer RNA, 75 nt
Filed under: Chloroflexota bacterium
Lineage: Bacteria; Bacillati; Chloroflexota
Description: tRNA-Met
Rfam family: tRNA
About the family: Transfer RNA (tRNA) molecules are approximately 80 nucleotides in length. Their secondary structure includes four short double-helical elements and three loops (D, anti-codon, and T loops).
Source: RNAcentral